GCCAGGGCGCCUGCAGCCAGUUGCUCGCAGGGGCAUCGCCCCGAACGGGGACCUUUCAACCCGCCACCACGCACCACGCUUCGCUGCAGGCUGCGCAGCAGCACGCUGGCGCACUGCAAAAACAUCCGCAGUUUGGCGCGGAAAAUGGAUUUGCAGAUUCCAUGCCCUGCCCAGGGCGCCACCACUCAAGUGCAUGUUUACGAAGGGAGAACCCGACCUCCGAAACACGUCAUGCCACAAUGUCCACAGUUGUUUUGUUACGUGUACACCGGUAAACAUCGAAAACAGGCGAACGCGGACAACAACAAGCCGUGACGAGUGCCCUGAGCACUGCUGCGCACCGGGCGGCGCCUAUAUCAAGGGACGCCAGGGAAGGCCUGGGCAUCAGUCGGCAAAUCAGUCCAGGACCAACUCGCCGAUACCGCCGCCGCCAUGGCCCUGCAAACGAAAGCCACCCCCACCGUGCUGCUGCUGCUGGUGGUCUCCGCCGCCAUCGUCCUCGCCAAGGCCGUGCCCGUGGACGUGGACCAGUCCGCGGACUCCGCGGUCCUGUCGAGGCCCGCGUCGCUCUUGUUCGGUCACAACAGUGAAGUGCGUGAUGCCGGUGCAGGGCAUGCCGCCGCCAACGUGCUGCAGCCGCUGCUGCUGACGUGUGAGUCUGCCGCCUGCACCAGAAAGUGCCGCAGCCAGUGGCGCAGAGGAGGGUCCUGCGAGCGAGGGCUGUGCAUUUGCCGCUGAACGGCGCCUAUCCAUCCAGUCUGCGAGCGCUCCACCGGUCCGGCUUGGCCCGGCUUGGCUUGGCUCCACCGACUUUCAGAGGCUCAGGCUCGCCUCGCCAUCACCGCACUUCAAGAGCGAGCCGGUUUGGCGUCUGCACACUGCAGCCGUGAACAUGAGCUUGUUGGGUUGCCUACGCGUUACCCGAUCAGGGGCAAGGGGCUCCCGCCCGAGGGGUAGGCAACCCAUUUGACGCCGUCACGACGCUGCUUCCGCCAAGAGCGCGUGCUUUUUCUGCGAACUGCACCAUAUGCGACACUGUGACACUUCAAAUUGAUCUCGAUAGUUUUAGUUCGCGAUGAUUGAUUUAUCUGUCUUGAGAAUCUCCCGCUUUUGUUUUUAAGGGUAUUUGUUUUAUAAUGGUAUGACCUUUAUUUGGUCUAACAAUAAGGAGUAACUUUGAAUUUGCAAAAAUAAACUUGUUCUAUUGCAGGGGAUAGUUGCUGUUUUUUGCGACAAUGACCCAGACAGGAAAGGUUGACAAGAAA
Molecule: RNA transcript, 1265 nt
Organism: Thrips palmi
Lineage: Eukaryota; Metazoa; Arthropoda; Insecta; Thysanoptera; Thripidae
Exons: 4
Source: RefSeq, a predicted model, not a curated record